This 1102-nucleotide long non-coding RNA is filed under the name Delphinapterus leucas (beluga whale). RNAcentral's name for it is "lncRNA (ENSDLEG00000001854.1)". Lineage: Eukaryota; Metazoa; Chordata; Mammalia; Artiodactyla; Monodontidae. The record is from RNAcentral.
CCUCCCUCCCUCCCUCCCUCGUUCGCUCGCUCGCUCUCGUGUGCCUGUUCUGCAGCUCAGUCAAGUACAGCCGCCCUCGGAAAGUGCAAAGCAGCCGCAAGACAGAUAGAGCUUUGUUGCUAAUUUCCCAGGGUGAAAAUGUACAAGCCUGCGAGUGCAGUCAGCACAACCCCACGCAUAUGCUACUCGCAAACGCUGGGGACGACCCCCAAUCCCCCCUCCGCACAAAAAGUGACCUCGGCGGGAGUCGACUCCGGGAAGGACCCUGCCUACCUCCUGGACCCGUCCAAAAGAAGUCCUGCGAAAGAGCUCCAGAGGAAAACGGUGCUUUGGACCAAGUGGUAUCUGAGCGGUACAAGCAGUACCUUGAUGCACAGGCCAGGUAAGGAGAGAAACAAAUUCACUAAAUAGUGAUAAAAGCAUCUGAACUGGUUUUAAAAGAUAACGUACAUUAGCAUGUUGAGUCACAAUGUUAUUUCCCAAGUGUAAAGUUCAGAGGCAUAGUGGUGAUAACCAAGUUUACCUCAGUCCCAGCAAAAUACAUGUAGUUUUCAUAAAAUGAUUGAAAUUUUUAUGACUAAAGUGAUGUUUUUAUGUAUUUUUAAAAUUUAAGUAGUCAAUUCUUCUAUGGUUAGUAACUGUAUGUUCUGGAUUUUCCAGAUCAGUCCAGAUUUCAUAAAAAUGUUCUUUUUCAAUGAAAGCUAGUCUCUAAAUGUGUAAUUAAAUGUAAUUUACUCUUUGAGUUAUUUUUGUGUAAUUCAGUUUACAAAUGAGAAAGAAAGAAAAAUUCCAUUAUCAGAUAUGCCCUGGUUUUAGAUUCAGAACACAUAUACAUUUUAUCUGCAGCCUAAGAGCAUAAUACUUUAAUAUUGUGUUUUUAUUCAUUACUACCAUAUAUUGUACCUCUUAAACUAUUGAACUGUAAUCUCCAAGGUCCUGAGCUCUCAUUUCCUAGUUUAAACAAGGGAUGUUUAAAAUCUAAAUUCACCUCAACUAAGUGGAUGCCAUGAAAAACUUUUUCUUCCUUUCAGUCUUGAGUGAUACUUUUACUUUCUCCCUCAAAACUUCUCAUCUGCAUUCCCAAUGCCAUUUUGCGGCACAC